AUCCAACUGACGAGUCCCGAAUAGGACGAGAGGGAUGUCCUGGAU
RNAcentral lists this non-coding RNA (45 nucleotides) under Schistosoma mansoni. The record is from RNAcentral. Lineage: Eukaryota; Metazoa; Platyhelminthes; Trematoda; Strigeidida; Schistosomatidae.